RNAcentral lists this non-coding RNA (29 nucleotides) under Homo sapiens (human). The record is from RNAcentral. Lineage: Eukaryota; Metazoa; Chordata; Mammalia; Primates; Hominidae.
UAGCAGAAAUCGGUACCUUGGUCAUUACA